UUGUUUACUUUGCAGGUUAGAAUUCAUGAUCAGGGUAAGCGGGGGGGGGUUACGGGAGUCUAGUUUAUUGUCUUUCGGAUGCAAUGAUAGCUGCGGUUUUCUUUUCUGUGGGAAAUUCGACUGCUUAAGUUGUGACAGUUGGGAUUGCGUUCGCGCUUUCUCCU
This 164-nucleotide small nuclear RNA is filed under the name Papio anubis (olive baboon). RNAcentral's name for it is "U1 spliceosomal RNA (ENSPANG00000045671.1)". The record is from RNAcentral. Lineage: Eukaryota; Metazoa; Chordata; Mammalia; Primates; Cercopithecidae.